RNAcentral lists this long non-coding RNA (552 nucleotides) under Callithrix jacchus (white-tufted-ear marmoset). RNAcentral's name for it is "lncRNA (ENSCJAG00000072912.1)". The record is from RNAcentral. Lineage: Eukaryota; Metazoa; Chordata; Mammalia; Primates; Cebidae.
CUGCCAGCACUGCGUGGGAGCACAGUGUGGGAGCACAGCGUAACUCUACUCAUAGCAGCUGAACCGAGUCCCUCCAAAUGAGGAAUCUACACACGACAACACCUAUUCUCAAUCCACUUGUCUGUUAGCAUUAACACCGCAGGCAUCUUCUUCCUCGGCGGAUCCACAGCCUACUUCUGCCUGCCUACCAACAGGACAGGUACCUGUACCCUGGUCUACCUUACCCCAACAUGAGCCCUGUCCCUCCGGGCCAAGAACUGCCUGCCCCUGCUAUGUCACAUGCUCGCUCAAAGAGGGUUACCCUUCAUUUCCUUAUUAGUAGCCCCUAAAGUCACAACUAGUGUGAGGUUAAAAGCAGGAAGCCCAGGAACCUCAUUAUAAUAUUCCCAGUCACUCUCACUAGAAAAAAUAGCAGACUGUCACUCAACUCCAAAACCAACUAGACUCUUCAGCAGCAGUCACCCUACAAAACUGCAAAGGCCUAAAUCUCGUCACUGCUGAAAAAGGAGGUCUGUGCCUCUCUCUAGAUGGACAAUGCUGUUUCUACCUCAA